AACGCGAAGAACCUUACCCAGGCUCGAAAUGUAAUGGACGAUAUCAGAGAUGGUAUUUCCCGCAAGGGCUGUUAUAUAGGUGCUGCAUGGCUGUCGUCAGCUCGUGCCGUGAGGUGUUUGGUUAAGUCCAGCAACGAGCGCAACCCUUAUCAUUAGUUGCCAACACGUAAGGUGGGGACUCUAGUGAGACUGCCUAGGUUAACUAGGAGGAAGGUGAGGAUGACGUCAAGUCCGCAUGGCCUUUAUGUCUGGGGCUACACACGUGCUACAAUGGUCGGUACAGAAGGCAGCAAGACCGCAAGGUGGAGCAAAUCCGUAAAGCCGAUCACAGUUCAGAUUGUAGUCUGCAACUCGACUACAUGAAGUUGGAAUUGCUAGUAAUGACGUGUCAGCAACAACGUCGUGAAUACGUUCCCGGGCCUUGUA
This 426-nucleotide ribosomal RNA is filed under the name uncultured Chlamydiae bacterium. RNAcentral describes it as "bacterial SSU rRNA". It matches the Rfam family "Bacterial small subunit ribosomal RNA", at positions 958 to 1385 of the family's 1533-position model. The record is from RNAcentral. Lineage: Bacteria; Pseudomonadati; Chlamydiota; Chlamydiia.